CUCCUUCAGGAUUUGAAAUGACAUUGGAAGGCACAUAACACGAGUUUUAUUGAGUCAAUCUGUUAUUUAUAAACUCAUAAGGGAUUUUUAAGAGACGUUCAAUGAAAGACGUUCUCAACAGGAAUAAGAUAUUCUAACCUAUUGUCCCAGUUUAUGGCUCAGAUAUAAAUAAUGGGCUAUAAAACCUCAUCUGAAAAUAGUUGCGCAGUGCAUGCUCCGCCGCCAGCCAAUGAAACGCCACCUCUCGGCGCCGCCACGGCCGACAGCACUUCAAAGACGCCACCUUUUCCUCUUUUUUUUUUUUUUUAAAAGAGACCGACCUCUUGGUUGCGCUGGCGCUUAGCACCUUUGUUGGGAACCCCACUCACGGAGCCCGGCAGGUGACCGUCUACCUGCAGAGCGCCAUUCCGGGUCAGGGACGGCGCGCGAUGGGUGUGCUGCGGCCCCAGUGCCAGGCUGCAGAAGGCGCCUUCCUUCUCAGGGCGCAAGGACAGCUUCCCACGGCCGGGCUCUGGGCGCCGCCUCAGAAAAUGUAUUCCUUUCCCAGCGCCAGGGUGGGGGUGAGAAAGCCCACUUCCAAAGGGCUGAGGGCACAGUGUGGGACUCGGUGCAGGCCUCUCGGGCGCCAUUCAGGGGUUCACACGCCGCGCGCAGCCCGCGCGUCUCCGGGGCGCCCGCGCAGAGCCCGGGGCGAGAACAAAGGGGACGCGCCCGCCUCGGUUCCCGGGGGCCGCCGGCCCCGCCCCGCCCCGCCCCCUCGGCCCGCGAAAUGGCGGCCGCGCCACAAAAUGGCAGCCGAGCCGGCCGCCGAUGGAGAAGGAAGGGGCGCCGCGCGGCCAGCCUGAGCACCCUUCGCGCGGCUGCCGGGGGCCUCGGCGCUCCUUCGUGCCGCCCGCCGCCCCGCCCAGCAGCUCGGCCGGCCCUUCCGUGCGGGGGCUGCCUUGGCUCUUCAAACCGCCCGCUCCCCACGGGGCUCCUUCUAAGGGGGUCAAAACGGGAAGGAGCUGAGUCUCGGACCCCUGCUGCCCAGGGCGCCCCUCGGCCGGGCGCGGGAAGGGAGCCCCCCUUUCCGAGGGUCUCCACACUCGCAGCUUUAACUCCAGAUCACAGAGAAGACAGGAAAGGGGGGAUCAAAGAACCCACCCCCCAAAUGAGGGAAAUUAAGGAAAUGGGUGAACAGCCCUCACACCAGUCCUUGGGCAGCCACGCGCGGCCCUGAGCCCACUCCAGAGCGCAGCGAGGAGCCCGGGGCCGGGGCGCGGGGGUCGGCUGGCGCUGCUCCCCGCAACGUAGGUGAGCGCUUCGGGCUUUUCAUCGCUCCGCGCUGCGCUCUCCCUUCCCCCGCGGGGAGGGGCUCGGCCGGGCUGGGCCGAGGGAGGAGCAGCUGCUGCGGUCCCCAUGCCUCCCCCACCCCAGCGUGAGAGUCUCAGUAGGCUCGGGCUUUGCUUUGGCUCUGGCUGGCUUGAUGCACGCAGGGCGGUGGCGGUGUGCUUUUCAUUUUUCGCUUUCUUUCCGUCAAAGGCUCUCUUCCCCGCGCUCCCCACCCCCCAGCUUCCCCAGGGCUCGGUCUUUCCAGAAACUUCUCAGGGAAACUCAGCAAAAAGCCGCAGGCUCGGCCAGCCCCUCCCUCCCAGAGCAUGCGCGACGGGCUGGGCGUCAGGCUCGCCGCGCGCGCGUGGGAGUGUGAGAGUGGUCCGUGCGCGCGCGCGCCGGGCGGGGCGGCUCUCUCACAAUGAAGAGAACAAGUUUUUCUCCCCUCCCCCAAAGUUCCUUCGUUGCGCAAGCGCAUUGGGGCACCUCCCCCUGGCCUUUGAGAGAAGGGGGAGGGGCAGGUCUGAAGUGCUCGAGUUGUUGCUCCGCGCGCCUGCGCACUCGGACGUCUUCGGGGCGCCGUCUUUUCCGCGCUGCCUGUGCCAGCGUCUUUGAUGUGAAGUGCGUGUGAGCAAGUCGGUUGUGCCGUAGUCAGUUUCCUCCACUCCCACUCGCGGAAACUGUAGCUUCUCGAGGGGUUAUUAAUUCUAUACGGCGGGUUUCCUGGAGAUUACCCGUCCCGUUGUGCCUCAGGGCUGAGGUCGGAGUGUGUCUCGUUGGCCCCCUUACCCUCCUGCCGGCGCCAUGUUUGGAACGGCUCCUGACUGGAUUCGGUGACUGGAGUGUGGUGGAGCCUCCUCCAAAUUGGGGAGAACAGCCCUGGGCGAAGGAGGUGGUGGCCGGGCUGGCUGCCAUCAGGCGCUGCCUGCACUUGUUGCUCGCUGAGCCAAAAUAGAGGGGUCCUUUCUUUGGAACGCCGCCCUUGGUCCUCGACACCAGCCUCAGCUCGGGCUGGCCGCUCGGCUUGUCCCCGGUGUGUGGAUGCGGACAAAGAAAGGGCCCGGGCGCACGGCUCUGUCUCUUGGCAGAACCGAGCUUGGAGGGCGGUGACCAUAGUAACCGCACUUACUCUUUCUCAAGGUGCCUUUUGUCUUUUCUCCCCUUUUCCUCUUCCCUUAGGAGUGGUGGAAAUUACUGCCAGGGUUGUAGGUUCUUAACCCCCUCGCCCCCCCAAAGAACCCCUUAUCUUGCCACGUGGUCCACUUCCAUACACUGUUUUGGAAAUGCAGCAGGUUAAGCACGGUCCCCUUUGGCGGGGCGUGGAGGCUUGCCGCUUCCAGUCUGGGCUUUGUUUCCUUGUCACCCUUCCUUCUGAAGGACUUUCGUCUCCCUGGUGGAGAAAUCCCCUUCCUCUUAGCGCGUAACGCACCUUCAAGGGUUAGGGUGCAAAGAGGGAGCUGGUUCGCGAAGGGAGCACGUUGGGGGCUCCGAAAGACUCACGUGGCCGCGGCAGCGGGGCGUUCUGUGGUCGGGAGCUGCGUUUUGGCCCCGAGGCUCUUCGUCGGGGCCGACUUGCCCGCAGGUGCGAGCGCGCUGGGCCGCGCCGAGGCCGAGCCCAUGAAUUUUUCUUCAGCAUGAUUUUAACUGAAGGCUGCAUUCAAGGUGAGAUAUGCCCUUUAUUUCUCUAGCUGCAAGAUGCUGUUUUCUGAAUCCUCUUCUUGUCAGUUGCCCCUUUUAAUGCAAUUGAGCUGAGCCUCUUCUGUUUUUCAUGGUGACACUUUGGUCUUUCCCAAGAGGAUUCAGCUAUUUCAGAGCCUAUCAGGUUUUAAGUGAGUAAUUUACAUCAUAUUUUAAAAUGUGUUUCAAAUUGUGGUUGCUUAUAUUGAAAUUCACGCUUCAUGGAAAAAUGCGCGUCAGUGCAACACUUGACAGCAGCCACGUAUACAAAACUACACAGUUCUUGGGUUUAGGUAAUAGUGUGCUGGCCGUCUGACAUUCCUCGCAUGAUAAUUGUUACAGAGAAAUGGCCAAAUGUAAAAAGGCCAAUCCUACAUCUGAAUAUAGGUUGAUUUGCUUUUUACUUCAACUGAGGAAUCAAUUUCACAAUACUUUUUGUUCUUGAAAAAACUACUCGGAGCUUUGCUGUCUGUGGAACAAAAGAAUUUAAUCAUGCACAGGUAACGCCAGGUGUUAGUGCCAUUGUUUAUGGUGAGCAUAUUUUCCAACUCAAAAUAGCAUAGUUUGAUGAUAAGUUGGCUUUUUUAAGGAAACAGUGAAUGAGACCACACAUUUAAGAUCUUCUCUGUACCUGACGCACCACACCUCUGGUAUUUUACUUCUGAAGAUAAAAUAUGGAAAGGAAAGUUGAGUUGCUGACCAUUCUAAACAAUUCAAUUUUUCUGGACUCAGUCGCCUUAACUUUGUCGGGUUUUCCGGGGGUUCUGUAAAAAAAAAGUUCCACUGUAGGCUUUAAAAGCCCUUAGUCCUGGAAAGGCUGGAGGUCUAAUCCCUUCCUCUACGCAAAUGUUAAUUUAUAGCAAAUCCUCUGAGGAGAACAGUAUUAGACAUGAAACCCUCCCAUCUCGGUCCUAUUCCUGCUAUACCGUAACGAUCAGCAAGAUCCUGCAUAAAAUAAAGUUGCUUAACGUUACAAGCUAAUGACCCUUGGGAGGGAUGGGUCUCUGAAGCCGUCACUGCUUAGCUGGGCGGCGAGAAGGGCGGCCUCUGACUUUCCCAAGCAGGCGGGGAUCCAAGUGCCCGGAAACGGCCGGGAGCUGGCCGAAGGGGGAGCAGGGGAGGAGGUCCCGGCUUCUAGGAGGGAGGCCUCGGCAGCCGCUUUGACACGCAGCCGUGUCAAGACCAACCCUCUUUCUCUCUUUUCUCCUGCCAGGCCAGCACCCAGGACCCCGGCUCCGGCGGCUGGAGGCCGUGCCUGCCUCUGCACGCUCGGCGCCCGGGGCUUGACUGAGCGCCCGCCCCGCGGCCGGCUCCCCGUGAGGCUGCGCGCCUGCGCACCGUGACCGAGCGCGCGAGCGUUCCUCCCCGGCCCCGCGUUCCUCCGUCCUCCGCGCGCCUGCGCGCCGGCUGGGAGGAACUCGGCGUCUCGGCCCGGCGGGCGGGCGGACGCGCG
Molecule: long non-coding RNA, 4441 nt
Organism: Equus asinus (donkey)
Lineage: Eukaryota; Metazoa; Chordata; Mammalia; Perissodactyla; Equidae
Source: Ensembl